Molecule: ribosomal RNA, 253 nt
Filed under: uncultured bacterium
Lineage: Bacteria
Description: partial 16S ribosomal RNA
Rfam family: Bacterial small subunit ribosomal RNA
Source: RNAcentral
UACGUAGGGGGCAAGCGUUGUCCGGAUUUACUGGGUUUAAAGGGUGCGUAGGCGGCCUUGUAAGUCAGUGCUGAAAUAUCCCGGCUUAACCGGGAGGGUGGCAUUGAUACUGCAGGGCUUGAGUAAAGUUGAGGUUGGCGGAAUUGACGGUGUAGCGGUGAAAUGCUUAGAUAUCGUCAAGAACACCGAUAGUGAAGACAGCUAACUAAGCUUUAACUGACGCUGAGGCACGAAAGUGUGGGGAUCAAACAGG